GCCAGGUGUGCUGGCACAUGCCUGUAAUCGCAGUGGCUUGGGAGGCUGAGGCAGGGGGAUUGCUGGUUCAAAGCCAGGCUCAGCAACUUAGUGGGGCCCUAAGGAAAUUUAAUGAGACCCUGUCUCUA
This 128-nucleotide small RNA is filed under the name Marmota monax (woodchuck). Lineage: Eukaryota; Metazoa; Chordata; Mammalia; Rodentia; Sciuridae. The record is from RNAcentral.